RNAcentral lists this small RNA (179 nucleotides) under uncultured Streptococcus sp. Its description in RNAcentral is "Listeria sRNA rli28". It matches the Rfam family "Listeria sRNA rli28". The record is from RNAcentral. Lineage: Bacteria; Bacillati; Bacillota; Bacilli; Lactobacillales; Streptococcaceae.
UCCUAUGCUAUAAUGAUUGAGUAGAAAAGUGAAGACGGUGACUCCUCAUCUGAAAGGUAGGUGAUGCCUAUGGGCAACUCAUCAAAAUCUGACGGAAAGGAAGAGUCUAGUUUUUGACAGCCUUUGAGAUUGUACAAACUAUCUUUGGUUUUGGUACCUUUACCAUUGCUUUGAUUGGC